UCAAACUUGGUCAUUUAGAGGAAGUAAAAGUCGUAACAAGGUUUCCGUAGGUAUGUAUCAACGCCCGUCCUCCACGGAGAGCCCCGCUAACAGUCGUCAAGGUGAACCUGCGGAAGGAUCAUUAACGUGUCGGCUCCGGCCAUUCACGCCCCCUGUGUACCUCUGGUUUCUUCGGCGCUCCGGCGUCGGACCAAACGCGGCAAUGUGGUAUUGUCCGAGUCCCAGAAAUUACCAAAAACUUUCAACAACGGAUCUCUUGGUUCCAGCAUCGAUGAAGAACGCAGC
Molecule: unclassified non-coding RNA, 285 nt
Filed under: uncultured fungus
Lineage: Eukaryota; Fungi
Description: partial contains small subunit ribosomal RNA, internal transcribed spacer 1, and 5.8S ribosomal RNA
Rfam family: Eukaryotic small subunit ribosomal RNA (bases 1-124)
Source: RNAcentral